This 489-nucleotide ribosomal RNA is filed under the name uncultured bacterium. Its description in RNAcentral is "partial 16S ribosomal RNA". It matches the Rfam family "Bacterial small subunit ribosomal RNA", at positions 30 to 507 of the family's 1533-position model. The record is from RNAcentral.
UUGAACGCUGGCGGCAGGCCUAACACAUGCAAGUCGUACGGUAACAGGAAGCAGCUUGCUGCUUCGCUGACGAGUGGCGGACGGGUGAGUAAUGUCUGGGAAGCUGCCUGAUGGAGGGGGAUAACUACUGGAAACGGUAGCUAAUACCGCAUAAUGUCGCAAGACCAAAGAGGGGGACCUUCGGGCCUCUUGCCAUCGGAUGUGCCCAGAUGGGAUUAGCUUGUUGGUGGGGUAACGGCUCACCAAGGCGACGAUCCCUAGCUGGUCUGAGAGGAUGACCAGCGACACUGGAGAUGAGACACGGUCCAGACUCCUACGGGAGGCAGCAGUGGGGAAUAUUGCACAAUGGGAGCAAGCCUGAUGCAGCCAAGCCGCGUGUAUGAAGAAGGCCUUCGGGUUGUAAAGUACUUUCAGCGGGGAGGAAGGGAGUAAAGUUAAUACCUUUGAUCAUUGACGUUACCCGCAGAAGAAGCACCGGCUAACUACGUG